UCCCUGGUGGCUUAGAUGGUAAAGAAUCUGUCUGUAAUGUGGAAGACCCAGGUUCGAUCCUUGGGUAGGGAA
Bos taurus (domestic cattle) is the source of this 72-nucleotide non-coding RNA. The record is from Rfam. Lineage: Eukaryota; Metazoa; Chordata; Mammalia; Artiodactyla; Bovidae.